AAGACCUUGCGCUUUUGGAGCGGCCGAUGCCUGAUUAGCUUGUUGGUAAGGUAAAAGCUUACCAAGGCUUCGAUCAGUAGCUGGUCUGAGAGGACGACCAGCCACACUGGGACUGAGACACGGCCCAGACUCCUACGGGAGGCAGCAGUGGGGAAUCUUGGACAAUGGGGGCAACCCUGAUCCAGCCAUGCCGCGUGAGUGAAGAAGGCCUUCGGGUUGUAAAGCUCUUUCAGCCGGAACGAAACGGUUACGGAUAACACCCGUGACUACUGACGGUACCGGAAGAAGAAGCACCGGCUAACUACGUGCCAGCAGCCGCGGUAAUACGUAGGGUGCGAGCGUUAAUCGGAAUUACUGGGCGUAAAGCGUGCGCAGGUGGUUUUGUAAGUCAGAUGUGAAAUCCCCGGGCUUAACCUGGGAACU
This 423-nucleotide ribosomal RNA is filed under the name uncultured bacterium. RNAcentral describes it as "bacterial SSU rRNA". It matches the Rfam family "Bacterial small subunit ribosomal RNA", at positions 207 to 622 of the family's 1533-position model. The record is from RNAcentral.